Lycium barbarum (goji berry) is the source of this 824-nucleotide long non-coding RNA. RefSeq lists it as uncharacterized. NCBI's taxonomy places the organism in Eukaryota, Viridiplantae, Streptophyta, Magnoliopsida, Solanales, Solanaceae. The transcript is spliced from 3 exons. The record is from RefSeq and is a predicted model, not a curated record.
UUUCCAACCAUAGGUCGUGAGUUCCCAGGUGACGUCGGUACAAGGAGAUAUGGACGUUUUAAGGUCGAAAGGUCAGUGGGCUAGGCCCAACUCGGGACCAACCGAGUUGGCCCAAAAAAAUCAAAAAAAAAAUAUUAAGGCCCAAAUGAGAGAGGGGUGGCCGGCCAACAAUGGCCCAAGCCCAUGGACUUUAUUAAUUUCCAUGUGCUAAUUAAUAUAAGGGUCAUAUAUGAGUCAUAAACUCAUAGAACCUUCAAGAAAUUAGAAAGGGGAGAAAAACAAAAGAGAGGGAGAAACCUAAGGGCCAUUUUCGGCCAAGCUCAAGACCAAAAAAAAAAAAAAAAAUUUUCAAAAAUCAUUUUCUACCAAUUAAAGGGUCCUUAGCAAGGUGGAGUAGUCAUUGGAGCAAGAAACCACAUAUUUUUGUGAGUUACAAGUCCUAGCCAAGAAGGAAGAAAAGAGAGAAAGAUUUUGGCGAACUUGAAACUUGAUUUUGGAGACGUGUAUGAAGCGGAAAAGGUCAACAGGUAGACAGAUUUGACUCUUAGAAGCUCCAUCAGCAGUAUUGUGGCAGCGCUCCAGUUGUUCCGGAGCCUCAGUUUCUUGGUACUACUUUUGUGUACAUAUUCGGGCACGGUAGAACCGGUCCUUCUUGUAUAUGUAGAUGUACUUUGUUUAGAGGCUCGUAGACAGAUAUGUACAGUCAGAUGUUUUGUACUUUUGUGGUCCUCGUCGUUGUAUAAUGUGCUAGCAAAGUUUAUAAGUCCAUGUCUACAAUUAUGCCAUUAAUGUUAGCGUUAAGCAACAGAAAAAAAAAAAGAUAC